GACGAACGCUGGCGGCGUGCCUAAUACAUGCAAGUAGAACGCUGAAGGAGGAGCUUGCUUCUCUGGAUGAGUUGCGAACGGGUGAGUAACGCGUAGGUAACCUGCCUGGUAGCGGGGGAUAACUAUUGGAAACGAUAGCUAAUACCGCAUAAUAGUAGAUGUUGCAUGACAUUUGCUUAAAAGGUGCAAUUGCAUCCCUACCAGAUGGACCUGCGUUGUAUUAGCUAGUUGGUGAGGUAACGGCUCACCAAGGCGACGAUACAUAGCCGACCUGAGAGGGUGAUCGGCCACACUGGGACUGAGACACGGCCCAGACCCCUACGGGAGGCAGCAGUAGGGAAUCUUCGGCAAUGGACGGAAGUCUGACCGAGCAACGCCGCGUGAGUGAAGAAGGGUUUCGGAUCGUAAAGCUCUGUUGUAAGAGAAGAACGAGUGUGAGAGUGGAAAGUUCACACUGUGACGGUAUCUUACCAGAAAGGGACGGCUAACUACGUG
This 495-nucleotide ribosomal RNA is filed under the name uncultured bacterium. RNAcentral describes it as "partial 16S ribosomal RNA". It matches the Rfam family "Bacterial small subunit ribosomal RNA", at positions 28 to 507 of the family's 1533-position model. The record is from RNAcentral.